Molecule: RNA transcript, 802 nt
Organism: Eupeodes corollae
Lineage: Eukaryota; Metazoa; Arthropoda; Insecta; Diptera; Syrphidae
Exons: 4
Source: RefSeq, a predicted model, not a curated record
CGAACGGUCUAAGAGUUUUUGAAUAGCCAUCGCAGUAUUGUUUAAUGCAUUUGGAAAACCCUGGACACAUCGGGACUUGUUUAGAUCUUAUAUCGAAUUUUCUUCCACAAAAGGUUGCCGAGAAUGCACAGCAAUUUCUUAACUUUGAAUGUUUAAUUGCAAAUUUUUAAAGUCAUUGUUUUUCAUUGUUGAUUAUGAUAAAUUUGUUUAAUCACAAUGCAGAUACUGAUCUACGUACUUCAAACACUCUAGGGGUAGUUUUAAUCUUAUUUGAUUAAAUAUUUCACCUAUGUAUAGAAACCUUAUCAAUUCUCUUAAGUUCUGAUAGAACUUAAUCAAUAAAAUAAAUAACUUAACUGAGAGAAAUUCGCUUUUAGUUCGUAAAAUUCUGCUUAGAUCGGAUAAGUCUGUGCAAAAAUAAAAGAAAAUAUGAGACUCAUUAUUCUUGCCAUCGUAUUGUCGUUUGUGGCAUACGUCACCAGCACAGAAUACAAUUGGGGUGAACCGAAUCUUGAGGAUGACUAUCUCAUUGCUGACGAUACAGUUUCGAAAAGAUCCUGGUUAUUCAAAGUUCCAAAGGCAGAAUAUGUGUUUAAACAAAAGAAAGAUGACAGACUGACCAUUUCUGGAAUUAGUAUUGUAGAUCCAAAAGGAAAGUGCAAUGCGGAAGUAACACUUACCAAAGGUGGAAUCGGGAAAAAAACUGCAACAUUAAAAUUCGUCGGGAAAGCUGGCAAAAAAUUCAAGUGCCGAGUCAAGAUUUGGGGAUAUCAAUAAAUUAUUUUGAUGAAAAAUUAUUAAA